AGGUCGGGCAGUCAAAGGUAUAGAGGCAGAAGUUUUAUUCAUUUGAAGGACAUGGGACAGAGACAUGACAGCAAAGAAAUACAAACUAAAGUAAGUGCAUUUUAAAAGCUUAAAUUUGUAGUAAUUAGGCUUCGAACUGAAACUGGUAGUUAGGGGAAUAAACCGGAAGAUUUUUAGAUGAAUGUUGAUUGCAGUAGACGUGUUUCCAACAUUAGAGACUUAAAAUUUAGUGUGUAAAAUUUGAUUAGAGAUGAAGCUGGCAUCUGACUUAUCUGGCAUUUCAUGUUAUGUUUUGAAAUAUAAAAUUUUUGCACAAUUCAAACAUGUUUGUUUCUAACAGUCAUUGUUUGGUAUUGAGGGUUUCCAGCCUCAUCAUAAAAUAAAAAUAUUAGGAUCCUCUAUGUUUCGAACUUUUCCAAAAGUUCCAAUAAUAAUAUAAGCAAAACUUAUUAAUAUAAAACAGUAACUAAACAAAGCACAAUAGUAUGGAAAUAAUUAAACGAAAACAGUAGUUCCAAACUUUAAAAGAUAAAACAAACAAAGAAAACUAAAGAUUAUCGAAAAUCUCUUCCACGUUUUUGGUUUGACGUUGAGGUUUACCUUCACUGUCAACAAUCAAUAUCUUCAAUCCUUUCUUUGAAGUCACUCUGGAAACAGCAACAUAUAGUUGUCCGUGAGAAAAAACUGGUCUUGGUAGAUAAAUUCCAACUUCAGACAAUGUUUGACCCUGGCUUUUAUUGAUAGUAAUGGUGAAUGCUACUCUAAUAGGCAAUUGUCUCCUCCUCAUUUUGAAUGGCAACUUUUUAUCUGAAGGAGUUAUAGAGAGUCUAGGAAUUAGCACAGUUCGGCCAAUUUUUUCCUUUUCCCCUGUAAUGACCUUCGCCUUUAUCAUGAAGUCAUACAUUUCUGUAAUCUGGAGUCUAGUACCAUUCAUCAAUCCACCAACAGGAUCUAUAUUUCUUAGCAACAUCACUGGACAACCCACUUUCAGACGCAGACUGUGAUUUGGCAAUCCUGAUGCUUUGAUUCUGUUUAAAAAAUCUGGAGUAAGAGCUUGGUCAUUAACAGAAAACCUAUCUGAAGCAUCAAUAGAAUCAGAGCUUAGAAAAAAAUUUCCUCUCUUGCAUGAAAGACCUUGAUCGUUAACAAAUAUAUAACACUGAAAAAAAAUAUUACAUGUAAAAAAAAAAAAUUGUAACUAACCAUGAAGCUUAUCCAGCAUAUGUUGAUUAAUCAUGUUGACAUCAUCAUUAGUAGGACAUAGAAUAGCUCUCUCCUGAAAAAACUUUGCCUCGUUAUUCUGGUGUAAAGAAGUAGCAUCUCCAUAGACUGCUGAACUUAUAGCUUCUAUUGGAUCUUUAGCAUCAAGAAUCAGAAACUCCUCUGGGAUGUCGAUAAGAGAUUCCCCAUCAUUUCCAUCACCAAUCUUUCCAUCUCCAAUAUCUAAUAUCCAUUGUGAAAACUCCUGCAAGUCUUUUGACUCCUCAGUCGACAAAUUAUUGGACAGCAGACUCAUAUUCUUGGUUAGUUGCAAAAAUUUCGUUAGUUGCAAAACUUUUACAUGCUUCCAUAGAUAAGAUGAAUUAAGAGCAGCCAUAACGAUCUCUGCCCUUCCAGCUCCAUGAAUGACAGGCAACACUUGUCUAAAAUCUCCACCGAAAACAACUACUUUGCCACCAAAAGGUCUUUUAUCCUUGUCUCCAACAAUGUCCAACAUACUACUAUCCAAUGAUUCAAAACAAUGCUUGCUCGUCAUUGGAGCUUCAUCCCAGAUUAUGAGGGAGGCUGCUUUCACCAGAUCUGCUUUAUCAGUUCCUUGUGUAAGUUUGCAAGUGGAAAAUUCAUCUGGAUUGAUAGGAAUACCAAAUCGAGAAUGUGCAGCCCUUCCUCUCGGCAGCAACAGAGAAGCUAUCCCACUCGAGGCAACAUUUAGACAUAUUUCGCUUCUAACACGUACUGCAGCAGAAAGUAAUCUCCAUAAGAAAGUUUUGCAUGUACCACCAAAUCCAUAAACAAAAAACACCCCUCCUUUUUUUGUGAAAACAGCAUCAGUAAUCUCAUCGUAUAUCUUCUUUUGCUCAUCUGUUAGUUUUGGAAUGUCACGCUGAAGAUCAGAUUCUAACUCCUCCCGGUCGUAACUGAGCUCUUCCAUAAUCAAAACAUUAUUAUUAACAAUGUCUGGAAUUGGUUUAGACAUUGAUUUCCACUUCUCCAAAGAAGUUCCAUUACUCUUCAGAAGCUUCUCAAUCUCUAUAAGCGCAUACUGCUUUUUUUCUGCAUCACUCAAGCUAAGAUCUAGUUCCAAAAAAAUAUACAGUUACUAACAAUUCAGACUAUAUUGCCGAGAAAUCUUGCUGUCACAAAUUUAUUUUAAACAAAAAUUCGAGUCAAAAAUUGUACCUGGUCUAUGUAAUAGCUUUCUUCUCUUAUGCUCAAUGUAUUCAGCAAGAAACUCCCAAGUCUCUUCCCAAACGACUUCUGGCUUUGACAAAGAUUUAGACAUGAGCAUGAUAACAAAAGCUUGACGCAAAUAACUUGCAGAGCCAGUGAAACUUGCUCUUUUGAGGUCGUCUAUAUAUUCUUGAUCAUCUUCUAACAGUCCCAUUGCAAAACAUGUCUCCUUGUACGAAGGAUACUCCACCCCUCGAAACGUCUUAAUAUCUUCAUAACAUGUUGGACCUCUCACAAUGUUAAGCAACACACGGCAAUAGAAUGCGUCUUCAAUCUCACGUGGUGCAUAAUUGAUUCUCCCAAUGCUGAAUCCUUUCUUCCUAUCAUGAAAUUUUUUGUCUUUCUUAUUCCAAGUAAACCUUGUUGGAAUUUCAGCUAGAGUGAGUGUCCGAGCUACCGCACUGACCUUGUUCAAUUCAAACCAACCCAAAAACAUAGUAUUUUCAAUAAGCUUCCGGCUGGUUACUUUUUCAUAUGUAUCAUCAUCUUUGAAAAUAAUGAUCUGUUUUCCUUCAAGAUGCCACUGCAAUCUCUCAACUGGUGUUAAUCUGUAGUGAAUAUGAAACAUAAAAGUUCUCCAAGCACCUUCGCAGGCUGAGACAUAUCUGAAAAAUGGAUAAUAGCAAGACAAUCAGGAUAAUACAAACUAAACAGCCACUGACUUGGAAAGCUCAAUAUAAAAUUUAGACAUCUGCUAAAAAAUACCUGCAGUUGAAGAAGUCCUUGAUUUCAUUUUUUUUCUUCUCCCUCAACUUACCAUUCGUUGAAAUGUUCUGAUCGGCAGAUCCUUUUUCUGGAGGCUCAACAGCAAUGGUGACACGAUCCUGCCCUUUGUUAAUAUACUUGAAUAAGUAUUUUAUAGAGCCAAUCUGAUUGCACCACUCCACAUUAAUGUGAGCGCGAAAACGAAGAGACAAAUCCUUGUUGUAUGGAAUCACAUAUCUGUUGUCACAUUUGAAACCUUUUUUUUCAACAAAUCUGCCUGGUUGUUCUCGUCUUCUAUAGACAGGAAACCCUUCUUUAUUGACUGUAGUUACAUCUGCAUAAGCUUUAGGAUACAUCUUCGAACAUGAACCAUUUUCCAUGCAUGGCGAAUUCAUGUUAGCAGCUCCACAUGGACCAUGAAUCAUCAUAUCUUUAAUAAUGUCAUAAAGCUCUGGCUCUUUGUCCUUAUCUGGAAUCUCAGCAACGAUAACCUUGUCAAUGUCAUCAGUGGUAGGAAAUUUGGAAUUAGAAUGCAUGAACAACAGAAUAUGUGCAUGUGGUAGACCGCAUUUCUGCCACUCAACGGUGUACAUUGUUGGAAAAAAAAUAUGAGUGAAAAAUCUAUACUUAACAAACAUGUUAAAAGGAUAAAAAAAAAUAGAAUAACACAUAAUUACUCACAUGAGACUGUCUUCCCCAGCAGCUCUUUAUCCGUUAAAUCAAUCAUGAGAGAAUCAAGUUUGAUUUUGAAAAUCCUUCCAAUAAUAUCAGGUCUAUCAUCAGCAAUAAGGUUCCGCUUUUGUAGAUACCUGGUGCUUUCAGGCCAUUUAGGAUUGCAUGUGAAUGUGAUAAACAGAUCAGGAAACCCAAAAUAUUUGCAUAUAGCCAUUGCAUCCAUUUAAUUGUUCUUCAUGUAUCUUGGUCCUCCUGUGAAUGAGGCUGGUAGCAAAAAUCGCUCUCCUUGGUCAUGCAUAUCCUUCUUUCCUGCAUUCCCGGCCUGUUGUAUAGAGUCAUAGCUAUCGGAUCGAAGGCUUUUUUGGUUCAUCCUUAGAUAACAAAGCAUGUUAGACUCGAUGGAGGUAUGAGAAUCAACCAAAAACUGCUGAAACAAACGCUUAGAAUGCAGAAGUGUAUGACACUCAUUCUCCCUUUCCCGUAGACGAAACGCAUACCACUGCCUCAUACUAAUAGUCUGUCUCUUUAGUUUAGCAGUAGCCUCUGUCUCUCUCUUUUUAAUCUCAAGUCUGAAACCAUCUUCACCAUAAGUAAAUAUUAGAGGAUAUUGAAGUGCCAAGUAAGAAGGGUGAAUCUCACUAAUCCUCUUUAGCCAACCAGUUUGUUUCUCUUGCAGCACAAUAUCUAUUUUAUCCAUGUCCAAAUUGAAAUCUCCUGGAAUUAAUGCAGCAACCUCCGAAGCUGUAGGGGUGUCAUAUGUCCUUCCAUCUUUUGCACGACUGCUGAUUAUGCGCAUAUGGAAUGUUUCUUCCGGAUUCGUGUCAAAUCUAUCCUUUGGUGAUCUAAAUUGAUGGACAUAUGGAUUGACCUCGUUUAGCAUCUUCAAUAAAGACUCAAUAACUUGUUUCCGAAUUGUCUCCUUCUUAGAUGUUUCUGAAGCUGUCUUGUACUUUCUGCAAAGACAAUAACACAUUCUGUAAUAUACCAACCUUUUGACAUCAAAUGGAAAUAUUUCAGAUAAAGAGAAACAUUAUACCCAAUUAUAGAAGCACGGUUGGUAACUUCAUUUUCUGUGUCGACAAUAUAGAGCUGUCCAAACUUAGCAGGGUCUCCUGGAGGAGGCUUCAAACUACCCAUCAAAUGAUAGUUCUCUCCUUGAAGUACAAACAUCUUUAGAGGGCCACAUCCUUUUGGAACUGACCGGUCGCAUUUACCACCAAGCGAUGUAAAUGAGAAAACCAUAUUUAACUGGCGAAUGUUCUCUCUGAAGUAUAUGCUUUUUUUAUCAUUGCCAUAAAGUAAUUAUUUCAACAUAGCUGGUGAAUCCUUCAACAGUGGAAGUUGGACUUGUCCUUGACCACAACAAAGAGCAAACUUUGGUUUACAGGUGUUCUUUUUGUUGUUUAUCCUUUCACCAUACCACAUAAUAGCCCCACAAUGCUCACAUUUGAAAGUAGGAUCACCGUCAUCAAUGUAACCUGUUUAUGAAAAAUUCAAAUCAUUAGCUGUAAAUAAAGAAAACAAAAAAAUAUUUUGAUUUGCGCUUUAGAAGCCAUUUUUAAUAUCAAUUAGGUCAUCCCUUGAACUAAGUACCAUAUUGUUUCCGAGAAGAUGUUGCUUUGGUCAUCGGCGUACAUGAAGAAGCUGUCUUUGUAUUAGUUUUUGAUAAGACAUUGGGUGAUCUGUGAUCAGUAUCUGGGUCGCAGCUUAGAGUUUCACAAUCGCUUGUGUCACUCUCUUCGCUACUGCAAUCAUAAACUUGUUCUUUGUCUAAUUCAGACUCUUCUGCUAAUACAUAAAACAGAUCAAAAAAUGGUUAAUCGACUUUUACUUAAAUAGAUAAUGAACAAAACUAAGGUAAACAAUAAAAAGUGUAGACCUUGAUAGUAACAUUGGUAUGCUUGGUCCUCAUCAUCCUCACUUGAAGAAUUAUCAUUUACACAACCUUCGAAUUGAGCUUCCAAUGUUUUCCUGCAACUCUUGGUUGUAGUUUUACUCUUGAACUUGUUAUCUCCAGCAAGUACUUUCCCCUUGCCUUUAGCUGAAAAUUGACUUGUUUAAAAUCAGAAGAAGUAACCAAUUGCAGAAAAGGCUUAAAAGAUUUAAAAUAUUUUGGAUUUAUAGUAUUUAUCCUUAGUAGUUAUCUUUGUAACACACGAACCAUUUGUAGAAGGUGUUCCAAGUUGCAAAGGCAAGGUACUGGCAGUAGGUAGUACAUUGGUAAUAUAAGUUAGAACCCCUGAUUUGGCACAUCGUUUCUUACUGGAAAACGUAUACGGUGUAUGGUCAGUGACAUCUAUGGUUGCUGAUCUCUUUCUCUUUAGAACUGUUGAAUCAUAGUUAGAUCCUCCAACGAUGUUGCUGACAGUAGUUUGAUUGCUUGAUUGCGCUAAUUGAAAAAAAACAUAAUAUUUUUCAUUAUUAACCAUUAGAAACAACGUUUAAAACACGCAUAUAAAGACAUAUGAGAGUAUUCUCUUACACAUCAACUUAUAGGAACUGCUCUUCAAUCUUUUUCCUUGGCCACUCUCAUGUUUCCCAUAAUCUAUAAAGAAAAUUUUUCAAUUUGGUAUUUGAGGUAAAGCACAAAAAUACUAUGAAGUCAACAAAGAUGUUUUGUGGAAGGACUGUUAAACCAUUAGUAGGGGUGGUUCCAAUAUUAACUCUCGGAGACGGCAAAUUAGGAUGAAUAUUGGAGAUAUCAGCUAGAACCCUUGGAAAAACAUUGCUAAGAGGCACAGAAGUUUCAGUGUUGUUGAAAUUAGAACCACACGGCUGUGUGUUCUCUUCAUCACUGGUGUUCGCUGUUCUCUUUCUUUUUCGCUGUUGCGCGGGUAUCAAGCCUUCAGAUCCUGGAGGGACCUCUUUGUGUGUGUUUGACAUUGUAAUUCUCUACAAUGGAGAUUACGGCCAGCACUUUUGAUGAGUAGGUCUUCUAAUUAAUUUAGAACUUAAACACAGAAACAAACUAAACAAAGAUGAUGCAGAGGGACCUCUUUGUUUGUGUUUGACAUUGUAAUUCUCUAUAAUUUAGAUUUCUGUUUUAUUCAUCUACUUCAUUGAUUUCUAUAUAAUUGACAUUAAUGUUCACUUUUAAAUUGCGAUAUAAUUUAUUUUGGCUAUUUUGGUUGCAAAGAUUAAAAACAAUAUACAUUAUAAAAAAUAUACAAUCAAUGGUUAGUUUCAAAUCUUUUUUCAAUCGUUUACUUUAACUAUAACAGCUUUAAUGGUUGUUUUAGACCCCUUUAAUAUUAAAUAUUAUAUAGUCCUCAAGAACAUUGCUAUAGUUAUUAUUUCUCAUGUCGAUAUGUAAUUUAAACUUUUUAUUCAUUCAAGUGUAUAUGAAUUUGAAGUAGAUGACUUUGUGUAGAUUGGCGCGGGUCAAAUAAACACUUAAUAAUGCAUUAGGAUAAAUAGACUGAUUGAAAAGCACAAAUCCAACAUAAGUUUAACCAAAAAAACCCCAACAAUUAAAAAAAGAAAAAAACAAAACCCAAAUGCAUGAAAACAAUUGACAUCAGUCUUCUUCCUUGCUUAGCCACGUUUCUUAGCAGACUCUUCUGCCUUUUCAAUUUUAACAGUCAUUAGGCAUGGUUUCUUUGAUGUUGAACUGCUGUCAGGGUGAGAAAUAGCAUCAUCUUCUUUUCUCUUACUGGAUGGUGUUGACACAGAGUAGUUAAGUUCUUGGCUAUCAGUCAAAUAUAUAGAACCCUGCAUAAAAAAAACAUUGAUAAGCGCGGGUUAAGAAAGAAACUCUCGGGUUAAAAUGCUUGAAAUCACCAUAGAAGACACAGUUUUACCUCAUCAACACUUGUAAUUGUCAAAAUCGUAUCAGAUUGAACUGGUGUGAUUGCACCAGUUAAGUAAUUCAUCCUGUCUUUGUAGAUUUUUCCAACUUUGUAUAUCUCAGCACCAUAAGAUACAUUAUCCUUCUCAACAUAAACUCCAAAUGUGAAAGUUUUUCCAAUCAAAUCAGUAACAACGUCUGGUAUUAAGCUUGUGUCGUCAAGCUGUCAAAAUAAAUUUCGUAUAUUAGUUUUAUUUCGUCAGUAGGAUUGCAUAAAAUAAGCACUAUAAUUGCUUUAUAAUAUUUACCUCAUCCUAGCUUCCAUUCAACAACUUGAGUGGAGAUUCAGAAACAAUCCCAUUAGCUACCUUGUCUAGGAUCAUUAUUUUUGACACACCAGUAUCAUCCUUGACCAUCAAGUGAAGCCAGAACCUGUAGAUUUGACAGACAUCAGUUACAUUUUUAAUUGGUCAACACCACUAUAAUAUUGAAACCAUGUGGUUGUGUUUUUAAAUUUAAAGUCAUACCUUGGUGAAACUUUCAAGACAUAUUCGUUGCAUGCCUCACAAAACCAAAUAUGAGUUGUGAUCUCGUUUCCAUUCACUUUCUUAAUCUUGGUUCCGGUUUUGAUCAGCCUUUUUUGGCAUGCAUCACAACCAAAGUAAUACCAGGACCAAUCCAUAUCAAUUUCAUAGAAUGUGCAAGUCACUAAACAUUUAUCAACCUAAACCAAAAAAAAAAUACAAAUGGUUAAAACCCACUUAUACGAGCUAUACAAUGUAACAUAUGUAAUAUAAAAGACUUAAACUGCUUACUUGAGUUGAUGCUUUCAUUUCAUGGAUGUUCUUAGUAGGGUAUAGCAACCACUUAUCACGCUGUCCUCGCUUAUCUGCCUGAUCUAUUUGCUUGUUGAUGUACUCUUGACUAUCCUCAUUACUUUCAUACGGCAUUAGAGUUUUGUCAUCCCCAAUAUCCCUUACAAAAAGCAUAAGAUUAAAGUUAGUAUGAUAGACAAAUAACUACUGUUAAAGCAACAAUAGAUCAUCCCUUACAUAUCUUUAAAAGGUUCUGCCUCGGGUAUUGUAGGGUUGAUGAUCAUUUGAGAAGCAUCAAAGGAGUUAGAGAUUUGUACUUCUCCUGUUGUGGAUACCAUUUAGUAGAUUAGAUAUAUAACAUUCUAAUGUAUAUAAAUGGUGUUAUUUAUUGAAUGACAUCUAUAGGAGUUCAAAUAUGUACCUCUGAACUUUCCAAUUUUAGCAAACCUUAGAAGCAAAGUAACCAAUCCAUCGUCUUGAUUGCAGGCAGAAUGGAGAAUAUCGGUUAACUUGCCUCACAUACAGCAUGGAAUUCUUGAAUCACUACGCGGCAAGUAUCAAAAAGCGAGGUUAGUUGUGAGUCUGGUAAAAAAAUUGCUUGGAUUGAAUUAGAUGACAGAAAACUUACUUGAUGUCUCUAAGGGUGAAAUUUAGUUUUUUACGCUGGUACCCACCAGCACACUGAAUGGUUUCGACAGCACCACAAUCCAAAACUUGGCCCAGCACAUCUAUUAAUCAAAACAUUUUCAAAGUUAUUAAAUGUAGCACGUACACAAUAUAAUUGUAGAAACUUUCGAUCACGUUUUUACCUAUUAGCAAUUUUUCAUCAGAGUUCCAGAUAGAACGCUUUGAAAAUCGACCAAAUUAAGAGAUAAGUCAUCAUUCAUGAAAUUGGACCGACUAACGACUGUUGCUUGAUUGAAUGAAAUCUUGUAGAUAUGGUUUGUUGUGCGAUAUGCUCCUCCAGCAGGCCUGACUUGGAAGUUUCUGAUGUUGCGCCAUACUCCAACC
Molecule: long non-coding RNA, 9444 nt
Filed under: Brassica napus (rape)
Lineage: Eukaryota; Viridiplantae; Streptophyta; Magnoliopsida; Brassicales; Brassicaceae
Description: long non-coding RNA (BNAP_LNC025195)
Source: RNAcentral